Molecule: ribosomal RNA, 643 nt
Filed under: uncultured archaeon
Lineage: Archaea
Description: bacterial SSU rRNA
Rfam family: Archaeal small subunit ribosomal RNA
Source: RNAcentral
CGUACUGCUCAGUAACACGUGGACAACCUACCCUCAGGUCAGGGAUAACCCCGGGAAACUGGGACUAAUACCUGAUAUAUCGCAGAGGCUGGAAUGCGCUGCGAUAGAAAGCUCCGACGCCCGAGGAUGGGUCUGCGGCCUAUCAGGGUAGUAGUGGGUGUAACGUACCUACUAGCCUACGACGGGUACGGGUCGUGAGAGCGAGAUCCCGGAGAUGGAUUCUGAGACACGAAUCCAGGCCCUACGGGGUGCAGCAGGCGCGAAAACUUUACAAUGCUGGCAACAGCGAUAAGGGGACCUCGAGUGCCAGGAUACAAUCUUGGCUGUCGCUGUGUCUAAAAAACACAGUAUAGCAAGGGCCGGGCAAGACCGGUGCCAGCCGCCGCGGUAACACCGGCGGCUCGAGUGGUAACCGCUACUAUUGGGUCUAAAGGGUCUGUAGCCGGCCGACUAAGUCUCUUGGGAAAUCUGGCAGCUCAACUGUCAGGCUUUCAGGAGAUACUGAUCGGCUCGAGACCGGGAGAGGUGAGAGGUACUUCAGGGGUAGGGGUGAAAUCUUGUAAUCCUUGAAGGACCACCAGUGGCGAAGGCGUCUCACCAGAACGGAUCUGACGGCAAGGGACGAAAGCUAGGGGCACGAACC